Molecule: ribosomal RNA, 384 nt
Filed under: uncultured bacterium
Lineage: Bacteria
Description: bacterial SSU rRNA
Rfam family: Bacterial small subunit ribosomal RNA
Source: RNAcentral
AGUGAACGCUGGCGGCAGGCCUAACACAUGCAAGUCGAGCGGCAGCGGGUUCCCGCGAGGGGAUGCCGGCGAGCGGCGGACGGGUGAGGAACACAUCGGAAUCUGCCUGGUUGUGGGGGAUAACGUAGGGAAACUUACGCUAAUACCGCAUGAGACCCUGAGUCGACGGACUGGGGGGUNAAAGUGAGGGACCUUCGGGCCUCACGCGACCAGAUGAGCCGAUGUCGGAUAGCUAGUUGGCGGGGUAACGGCCCGCCAAGGCGACGAUCCGUAGCUGGUCUGAGAGGGUGAUCAGCCACACUGGGACUGAGACACGGCCCAGACUCCUACGGGAGGCAGCAGUGGGGAAUAUUGGACAAUGGGCGCAAGCCUGAUCCAGCGAUG